UGGGGAAUCUUGCGCAAUGCGCGAAAGCGUGACGCAGCAACGCCGCGUGGGGGAAGAAGGCUCUCGGGUUGUAAACCCCUUUCAGUUGGGACGAAGCUUCGUCGGUGAAUAGCCGAUUGGAGUGACGGUACCUUCACAAGAAGCACCGGCUAACUACGUGCCAGCAGCCGCGGUAAUACGUAGGGUGCAAGCGUUGUCCGGAAUUAUUGGGCGUAAAGAGCGUGUAGGCGGCUCGACAAGUCUGCUGUGAAAGUCUAGGGCUCAACCCUGGAAUGCCGGUGGAUACUGUCGAGCUAGAGUCCGGAAGGGGCGAGUGGAACUCCUGGUGUAGCGGUGAAAUGCGCAGAUAUCAGGAAGAACACCAAUGGCGAAGGCAGCUCGCUGGGACGUGACUGACGCUGAGACGCGAAAGCGUGGGGAGCGAACAGGAUUAGAUACCCCCGUAGUCC
Molecule: ribosomal RNA, 449 nt
Filed under: uncultured bacterium
Lineage: Bacteria
Description: bacterial SSU rRNA
Rfam family: Bacterial small subunit ribosomal RNA
Source: RNAcentral